RNAcentral lists this ribosomal RNA (453 nucleotides) under uncultured Skermanella sp. RNAcentral's name for it is "bacterial SSU rRNA". It matches the Rfam family "Bacterial small subunit ribosomal RNA", at positions 8 to 507 of the family's 1533-position model. Lineage: Bacteria; Pseudomonadati; Pseudomonadota; Alphaproteobacteria; Rhodospirillales; Azospirillaceae. The record is from RNAcentral.
AGAGUUUGAUCCUGGCUCAGAACGAACGCUGGCGGCAUGCCUAACACAUGCAAGUCGAACGAGGGCUUCGGCCCUAGUGGCGCACGGGUGAGUAACGCGUGGGAACCUGCCCUGUGGUACGGAAUAACUCCGGGAAACUGGAGCUAAUACCGUAUGUGUCCUGCGGGACAAAGAUUUAUCGCCAUGGGAUGGGCCCGCGUAGGAUUAGCUUGUUGGUGGGGUAACGGCCUACCAAGGCAACGAUCCUUAGCUGGUCUGAGAGGAUGGUCAGCCACACUGGGACUGAGACACGGCCCAGACUCCUACGGGAGGCAGCAGUGGGGAAUAUUGGACAAUGGGCGCAAGCCUGAUCCAGCAAUGCCGCGUGAGUGAUGAAGGCCUUCGGGUUGUAAAGCUCUUUCGCACGCGACGAUGAUGACGGUAGCGUGAGAAGAAGCCCCGGCUAACUUCGUG